UUCUGACCCUCGGCUGUGACUCCCAGCCGCAUGCCCUGACGCACUUCCCCGGCGCCAGGUCGAUGCGGAUGGGGAUCAGAGCCGAGGAUCGGUCCCCG
This is a non-coding RNA of Microbacterium testaceum StLB037, 98 nucleotides long. The record is from Rfam. Lineage: Bacteria; Bacillati; Actinomycetota; Actinomycetes; Micrococcales; Microbacteriaceae.